GAUGAACGCUGGCGGCGUGCCUAAUACAUGCAAGUCGAGCGAACAGACGAGGAGCUUGCUCCUCUGACGUUAGCGGCGGACGUGUGAGUAACACGUGGAUAACCUACCUAUAAGACUGGGCUAACUUCGGGAAACCGGAGCUAAUACCGGAUCAUAUAUUGAACCGCAUGGUUCAAUCGUGAACGACGGUUUUGCUGUCACUUAUAGAUGGAUCCGCGCCGCAUUAGCUAGUUGGUCAGGUAACGGCGUACCAAGGCAACGAUGCGUAGCCGACCUGAGAGGGUGAUCGGCCACACUAGAACUGAGACACGGUCCAGACUCCUACGGGAGGCAGCAGUAGGGAAUCUUCCGCAAUGGGCGAAAGCUUGACGGAGCAACGCCGCGUGAGUGAUGAAGGUCUUCGGAUCGGAAAACUCUGUUAUGAGGGAAGAACAAAUGUGUAAGUAACUAGGCACGUCUUGACGGUACCUAAUCAGAAAGCCACGGCUAACUACGUG
Molecule: ribosomal RNA, 497 nt
Filed under: uncultured bacterium
Lineage: Bacteria
Description: partial 16S ribosomal RNA
Rfam family: Bacterial small subunit ribosomal RNA
Source: RNAcentral